This 75-nucleotide transfer RNA is filed under the name Clostridiales bacterium. Its description in RNAcentral is "tRNA-Glu". It matches the Rfam family "tRNA". From Rfam's summary of the family: Transfer RNA (tRNA) molecules are approximately 80 nucleotides in length. Their secondary structure includes four short double-helical elements and three loops (D, anti-codon, and T loops). RNAcentral also lists the same sequence under 1 other name. The record is from RNAcentral. Lineage: Bacteria; Bacillati; Bacillota; Clostridia; Eubacteriales.
GCUCCCAUGGUCAAGUGGUCAAGACACCGCCCUCUCACGGCGGUAACAGGGGUUCGAAUCCCCUUGGGAGUGCCA